CCUCGCUCCCGCGACUCCGCUGCGGGUCUGCACACCCGAGGACUCGGUUUGAAACGCCCGCUUAUUUAUUUUCUUGUCGCCUCGCUACAAGAUUCUAUCCUUGUUUGGGCAUGAGUGGGGGGCGGCAGUCUCGUGGGACCGGCGGCAUUCGUCGUUCCUCCUUACGGGGAUAAUUCGAGAAGUGCGGUCCGGGUAGGGAGAGAAAUCAGGAGAGAAAAUGAGAAAGAGAAUCCUCGUUUCCCCUCAAAGUUGGACGACCCACUCGUAUAUCUCCUUUUUGGGAGAUUCGCCCAUAACUCAGCACAAACAGGGAAUAGCCCGGAAAGCGCGCGAGUUCCCGUCCGAUUGUGGCGGGGGAGGCUGAACGUUUGGUCCACACGGGUGCAGGACGCGGGGGUCAGGCCUCCUGCUGCGGAGGAAGAGGGGGAAGAGGCCGCGCGGGAGGGACUUCUGACACGCGCCACUGUUUUUGUUUUCAAACAGGGGUACUUAACCGAAACUAGCAAUCCCAGGCGGUACAAGGCCCUCCAUCGUAGGCAAAGCACUACCUGAAUGUAGAUUUGGGCCAUACGUUGGAAAAUAAGACAUGAGAGUAUGCUCCGAUCAACUUUUACUGUUCACUGGACAACUAUUUUGGGAAUUUGCAGACCUAUAAAGCCCAUCUAUAAAUCUCAAGCAUGUCCACUUUCAGAGAAGAGAAAUGCUGACAACCAUUUAGUCUCUGAGGACAACACUUUUAAAGUUAUACAGGACUCCAUCAUAGGACUGGAGAGAGAUUGGAUGUCAGAGUGAUUGAUGUGCUCCUACUGGAAGAAGGCAAACAUCCAUAUGUGAACUGCCUGUGGGGUUUCCAAGGAAAGGAACGGCAGGCAGCCUCUAUGAGCUUAAAGAAGAUAACUGGGACUUUAGUCCUAUAACCUCAAGGAACAGUAUUCUGUGAACCAUCUGAGAAGCUUGGAAGAGGACCCCAAACUCCAAAUAAGAAGCUCAGUGUGUCUGACACCUUGACUGCAGGCUUGGGAGGUCCUGAGCAGAAGAUCCAGUUCAACAGUGCCUGGACUCCUGAUCCACAAAAACUGAUAACAAAUAUUUAUUGUUUUAAGAUGCUAAGUUUGUAGUCAUUUUUUAUACAGCAACAGAAAACUAAACACACACAUAAACAGUUAUAAGUGCUCACUGUAUAUGAGGCUUUUCAUUAAUAAUCUAUAUUUUAUAAUAGAAUUAGAAUAUAGAUCUGUGAAGCUGAAGACACUCAAUCCUUGCUAGAUUUAAAUCAGGAAAAUCAGCUGAGAAUCAUUCCUUGAUAGAACCUGGAAAACAAGACCCUAUGAGAGACCCUGGGAAUUACAUUAAAUUCACUGUGGUUCCCAGUGUCACUGAAGAGGUUUUCCUUUCAUAGUCAGGUAGUCACCAUACUGUUAAGCAUUUGAACACAUGGGCAACUUCCAGAAUAGUUAUGACAUUGAUAUACCAAUCUCCAAAAUUCCUAGAAUACCAUGUUUUCAUGGUUGACCUUCAAAUCAGUCAGUUCUUUGUAACAUUGAGCCAUAAAGAUAGGGCAAAUACUUAAUGUUUUACAUAUAUUCAGAGAUUGACCCUCAAAAUACAGCCCAGAGAAACUCAAAAGAAUUAACUCUAUUUCUUCAAAUUGUGUGACGCCACCAAGGCCAGAUGACUUCAGCAUUGGGAAGGCAAUAUCCAGCUGUCAUCUUCUUGAUCCUCAUAUGCUACUACUAGCAUCUAGCAUUUACUGAGCAGAUAGUUUUAUUGUCCAGUUUUUAAAGAUAAGAAAAUUGAGGUAUUAGGAAAGUUAAGUUGGUUGCCUAGGGAAACACGAAGAUAUAGC
Molecule: long non-coding RNA, 1846 nt
Filed under: Homo sapiens (human)
Lineage: Eukaryota; Metazoa; Chordata; Mammalia; Primates; Hominidae
Description: non-protein coding BVES-AS1:10
Source: RNAcentral